GAUGAACGCUGGCGGUAUGCUUAACACAUGCAAGUCAAACGGACUCUUCGGAGUUAGUGGCGGACGGGUGAGUAACGCGUGAGAAUCUGGCUUUGGGUUCGGGACAACCACUGGAAACGGUGGCUAAUACCGGAUGUGCCGAGAGGUAAAAGAGAAAUUGCCUGAAGAUGAGCUCGCGUCUGAUUAGCUAGUUGGUGAGGUAAAGGCUCACCAAGGCAGCGAUCAGUAGCUGGUCUGAGAGGAUGACCAGCCACACUGGGACUGAGACACGGCCCAGACUCCUACGGGAGGCAGCAGUGGGGAAUUUUCCGCAAUGGGCGAAAGCCUGACGGAGCAAUACCGCGUGAGGGAAGAAGGCUCUUGGGUUGUAAACCUCUUUUCUUAGGGAAGAACAAAAUGACGGUACCUAAGGAAUCAGCAUCGGCUAACUCCGUG
RNAcentral lists this ribosomal RNA (435 nucleotides) under uncultured bacterium. Its description in RNAcentral is "partial 16S ribosomal RNA". It matches the Rfam family "Bacterial small subunit ribosomal RNA", at positions 28 to 507 of the family's 1533-position model. The record is from RNAcentral.